This 253-nucleotide ribosomal RNA is filed under the name uncultured bacterium. Its description in RNAcentral is "partial 16S ribosomal RNA". It matches the Rfam family "Bacterial small subunit ribosomal RNA", at positions 524 to 776 of the family's 1533-position model. The record is from RNAcentral.
UACGGGGGGUGCGAGCGUUGUCCGGAAUCACUGGGCGUAAAGGGCGCGUAGGUGGCUUCGUAAGUCCGUUGUGAAAGUCAAAGGCUCAACCUUUGAAAGCCGAUGGAUACUGCGGAGCUAGAGUACGGAAGAGGCGAGUGGAAUUCCUGGUGUAGCGGUGGAAUGCGCAGAUAUCAGGAGGAACACCAAUAGCGAAGGCAGCUCGCUGGGACGUUACUGACACUGAGGCGCGAAAGCGUGGGGAGCGAACAGG